CCUUCGGGAGCUGACGAGUGGCGGACGGGUGAGUAACGCGUAGGAAUCUGCCUUAUAGUGGGGGACAACGUGGGGAAACCCACGCUAAUACCGCAUACGCCCUACGGGGGAAAGCGGGGGCUCUUCGGACCUCGCGCUAUGAGAUGAGCCUGCGUUAGAUUAGCUAGUUGGUAGGGUAAAGGCCUACCAAGGCGACGAUCUAUAGCUGGUCUGAGAGGACGAUCAGCCACACUGGGACUGAGACACGGCCCAGACUCCUACGGGAGGCAGCAGUGGGGAAUAUUGGACAAUGGGCGCAAGCCUGAUCCAGCAAUACCGCGUGUGUGAAGAAGGCCUUAGGGUUGUAAAGCACUUUCAAUGGGGAGGAAAACCUGCCGGUCAAUACCCGGUAGCUUGACAUUACCUGUAGAAGAAGCACCGGCUAACUCCGUGCCAGCAGCCGCGGUAAUACGGAGGGUGCGAGCGUUAAUCGGAAUUACUGGGCGUAAAGCGUGCGUAGGCGGUUCGUUAAGUCAGAUGUGAAAGCCCCGGGCUCAACCUGGGAACUGCAUUUGAAACUGGCGGACUAGAGUUUAGUAGAGGGGAGUGGAAUUUCAGGUGUAGCGGUGAAAUGCGUAGAUAUCUGAAGGAACACCAGUGGCGAAGGCGACUCCCUGGACUAGAACUGACGCUGAGGUACGAAAGCGUGGGUAGCAAACAGGAUUAGAUACCCUGGUAGUCCACGCCGUAAACGAUGUCAACUAGCCGUUGGUCCUAUUUACAGGAUUAGUGGCGCAGCUAACGCAUUAAGUUGACCGCCUGGGGAGUACGGCCGCAAGGUUAAAACUCAAAUGAAUUGACGGGGGCCCGCACAAGCGGUGGAGCAUGUGGUUUAAUUCGAUGCAACGCGAAGAACCUUACCUACCCUUGACAUCCAUAGAAUC
Molecule: ribosomal RNA, 923 nt
Filed under: uncultured Methylococcaceae bacterium
Lineage: Bacteria; Pseudomonadati; Pseudomonadota; Gammaproteobacteria; Methylococcales; Methylococcaceae
Description: SSU rRNA
Rfam family: Bacterial small subunit ribosomal RNA
Source: RNAcentral